Cyprinus carpio (common carp) is the source of this 531-nucleotide long non-coding RNA. RefSeq lists it as uncharacterized. The record is from RefSeq and is a predicted model, not a curated record. NCBI's taxonomy places the organism in Eukaryota, Metazoa, Chordata, Actinopteri, Cypriniformes, Cyprinidae. The transcript has 2 exons.
ACGGGAUUUCUGACACUCAUCAACUAAUUACCGCGACAGAAAUGCGUCAAUAACUCAUCAAUUGGAGCCAAUGUUGCUGUUGGAGGAGCAUCACCUGCGUGUGUCUGUCACACAGGUCGGUUAAUUGAUUUCGGCAAGCGGGGAGCAGGUGUGUGCACCGCGCUAUAUAAUGCGGAACUAAUCCGAAUCGUCCGUCCGCCAUCGAUUAAACAGCCUGCGGCAAACAGAUAGACUUACAACAGUCAGGAGCCAACAGGUAGCAGCGUUACACAGAAUGAUGGAGUUACCUUCAUCCGCCACAGUUUCGAGCAGGAACUCCAGCAGGAUAAUAAUCCAGAGCGCGGCCACGUUCCUGGAGAAGAGCUCCAUCGUGGAAUCACUGGUGAAUGUUUACAAAGAUGGGCAAACAGUGCAAAGGUUCAAGAAUCGUCAGCUGGGUCUCGCACCCAUCAGGAAUGAGCAAUCGCACGAGAGACAGAGAGAAGCCACCAAGUCAUGAGAGGAAAAAAAAAACUUCUAACUUCAGCCGAA